This 200-nucleotide ribosomal RNA is filed under the name uncultured bacterium. RNAcentral's name for it is "partial 16S ribosomal RNA". It matches the Rfam family "Bacterial small subunit ribosomal RNA", at positions 29 to 256 of the family's 1533-position model. The record is from RNAcentral.
AACGAACGCUGGCGGCAUGCCUAACACAUGCAAGUCGAACGAGACCUUCGGGUCUAGUGGCGCACGGGUGCGUAACGCGUGGGAAUCUGCCCUUGGGUUCGGGAUAACAGUUGGAAACGACUGCUAAUACCGGAUGAUGACUUCGGUCCAAAGAUUUAUCGCCCAGGGAUGAGCCCGCGUAGGAUUAGCUAGUUGGUGAG